Non-coding RNA from Macaca mulatta (Rhesus monkey), 582 nucleotides. NCBI's taxonomy places the organism in Eukaryota, Metazoa, Chordata, Mammalia, Primates, Cercopithecidae. The record is from RefSeq and is a predicted model, not a curated record.
UCCGAGUGUCUGUUGCUGGCGGUUCAUGGCGGGGAGACGCGCAGCGCGAGAGCAAAGGGCGGUUACCCAAUGGCCUUCGCUCUCAUGGCGUCCUUCUUGGUGUUACCUAAAAAUGAAGCCAAGUGUGAUUAGAAGGACUGAAACCUCAGACACAGGGAGCUGGCCUAUUCACCUUAGAAUCCUCUGGGGUACCCACUACAGUGUCUGCAGCAAGGAGUCAAUAAAGAACCGGGGAACAGACUGGAGCAGAAGGACCACCCAGCAGAGCCAAGCCAAAUCACUGACCCUCAGAGACCUGAUGUGAAUGCUUAUGGUUUCAGUCCACUGGAUUCUGCAGUAAUCUGCCGAUCUGCAAUAUUACCACAGUAAAUAAUGGAUAGACCUGAAAAUGAACGUGUACCUCGUGCCAAAAUUGCAGAUACCCCAUGAGCAGGAAACCUCAGCAGUAGAAACAAUUUUAUAUGAGGGAAUGUACUCUCUCCUUUGCAUUUAUCCUCAAAUCUGUAUUUUUAGCCCCUCACUUGUCUCUACAGAGACAAGUGAGUUGCUUAAUCUAAUUGCUGACUGUACAUCUCCAGGAAA